RNAcentral lists this ribosomal RNA (324 nucleotides) under uncultured eukaryote. Its description in RNAcentral is "partial 18S ribosomal RNA". It matches the Rfam family "Eukaryotic small subunit ribosomal RNA", at positions 1470 to 1796 of the family's 1831-position model. The record is from RNAcentral.
CCCUUAGAUGUUCUGGGCCGCACGCGCGCUACACUGAUGCAUUCAACGAGUUUCUUCCUGGUCCGAGAGGAAUGGGUAACCUUUUGAAAGUGCAUCGUGAUAGGGAUAGACUAUUGCAAUUAUUGGUCUUCAACGAGGAAUUCCUAGUAGACGUAGUUCAUCAGACUGCAUCGAUUACGUCCCUGCCCUUUGUACACACCGCCCGUCGCUCCUACCGAUUGAGUGGUCCGGUGAAUUAUUCGGACUGCAACGCGUUCAGCUUCUGGAUGCAGUUGCGGAAAGUUUUGUAAACCUUAUCACUUAGAGGAAGGAGAAGUCGUAACA